CAGGUAGUCCACGCCGUAAACGAUGAUUACUAGGUGUAGGUGGGUAUGGACCCAUCGGUGCCGCAGCAAACGCAGUAAGUAAUCCACCUGGGGAGUACGUGAAGUUGGAUUCGCUAGUAAUCGCGCAUCAGCCAUGGCGCGGUGAAUACGUUCCCGGGCCUUGUACACACCGCCCGUCAAGCCAUGGAAGCUGGGGGUGCCUGAAGUUCGUGACCGGAAGGAGCGACCUAGGGCAAAACCGGUGACUGGGGCUAAGUCGUAACAAGGUAAC
This 271-nucleotide ribosomal RNA is filed under the name uncultured bacterium. RNAcentral describes it as "partial 16S ribosomal RNA". It matches the Rfam family "Bacterial small subunit ribosomal RNA", at positions 787 to 1500 of the family's 1533-position model. The record is from RNAcentral.